AUUGAACGCUGGCGGCAUGCCUUACACAUGCAAGCCGAACGGCAGCACGGGGCAACCUGGUGGCGAGUGGCGAACGGGUGAGUAAUGCAUCGGAACGUACCUUUCAGUGGGGGAUAACGUAGCGAAAGUUACGCUAAUACCGCAUAUUCUGUGAGCAGGAAAGCAGGGGAUCGCAAGACCUUGCGCUGAUUGAGCGGCCGAUGUCAGAUUAGCUAGUUGGUGAGGUAAAGGCUCACCAAGGCGACGAUCUGUAGCGGGUCUGAGAGGAUGAUCCGCCACACUGGAACUGAGACACGGUCCAGACUCCUACGGGAGGCAGCAGUGGGGAAUUUUGGACAAUGGGGGCAACCCUGAUCCAGCCAUGCCGCGUGAGUGGAGAAGGCCUUCGGGUUGUAAAGCUCUUUCGGCCGGGAAGAAAUCGCACGGGCUAAUACCCUGUGUGGAUGACGGUACCGGAAUAAGAAGCACCGGCUAACUACGUGCCAGCCGCCGCCGUAA
RNAcentral lists this ribosomal RNA (498 nucleotides) under uncultured bacterium. RNAcentral's name for it is "partial 16S ribosomal RNA". It matches the Rfam family "Bacterial small subunit ribosomal RNA", at positions 30 to 523 of the family's 1533-position model. The record is from RNAcentral.